RNAcentral lists this long non-coding RNA (744 nucleotides) under Trifolium pratense (red clover). Its description in RNAcentral is "long non-coding RNA (TPRA_LNC012163)". The record is from RNAcentral. Lineage: Eukaryota; Viridiplantae; Streptophyta; Magnoliopsida; Fabales; Fabaceae.
GUCAUUUCCAGAGCUCGCCGAUAUGCAUAAUUGCAAUCGAAAUUCUUCAAACCCGUACCCAUAACUUUCUGCAGUUAUGGGUAAAGCAAACAGAAUCUCAAACCGAGUUAUAGAGAGGGCGCAGUUAACCUUUAAGUGUAGCACUGUCCAAACACAUUUUCUGCAGAAAUCCUGUUUCGUAUCUUCAACUUUAACAUCACCUACAUAACGCAUUGUAACUCCGAAUCCGAUGAAAUUUGAUAUUCCAACAAGGGUAAAUUCGUUAGCUUUACAGAACUUAAAGAAUUAACGAGUUACAGGGAAGGAGUACUUAUUGUUUUUCUGAAAGUAUAUCCAAAAACGAAAUUCAACACAAUCUCUUUCAAAAGUCACCAAUCAAAACUUCAAGCUUCAAGCAUGAACCCAUGACUCCUUGACUACUAUAUCUCACAUACAAGCUCUCAAUUAAAAAAGGAAGGGAGUACUCAUCAGAUUUUGGUUGAAUAAUUAAAAAGGGAAAUUACAAGGAUUCUGUUAAAGAAAAGGAAAAGGUAAGUUUGUUACCUUGUUUACUUAUGGCUAGAGAAGUUGCUACCUUUCCUUAGUUCCAAGCUUGAAUUGAAGAGAAUGGUUAGAGUGAGAGGGAGUAGGCGUGAGAGGAAGAGGGAGUAUUGGAAUGGUUACUGAGAAAUGAAUUUGAUAGAAAAUGGGUGAUCUUGGAGUGGUUAGGCAAUUAAAUACUCUUCAUGCUCAAAUUACCAACUU